CCAAAACUCUAUUUCCCCAAUUUCCUUUAUUUCUCUCUCUCUCUCGCUCUCGAUAUUUCCACCUGUGAGGCCGUUGUUCUUCAAUCUCUCGUUCGCUUCUCCUCUGUGACUGUAAAUCACUCGUCACUCCUCAGCUCUCUCUCUUUCUUCUCACUAACCACUCCUCUUGUGCGACUGUAAGUUUGUCUUUCCUUUUUCUGCUUAUUUUUUCCAUCUUCAAUUAUAAGGCACAAUCUUAAAUGGGUAACUUUAAUUUCAUUAGAAUGCACAAUCUUUAUGUAUUUUUAAUAUAUGUUUAUGUUGGAAUCUGUGGUUCUUCUCUGUAUUUUCUCUUCUUCUUCUUUUUUCUUUUUGUUUUUUGCCCGGUAGUUAUUUUAUUAAUAAUAGAAAAGAAAAGUGCAACAUAUAGGAAAAGUACAUAUAAGGGGGACAAUAGCACCAGUAGUGUUGCCUGUAUGCCUUCGCUAUAUAGUCACUCCUUUGCGCCUCACAUUGUCAUAUGAUGGCAGCCUCAUGUAGAGGAUUAUCGAUCUGCCGGCAAAGUCCCACGAGGGCAUAUAUUCUCAUAGCCAUUUGGAUGUCUUUCCAAAGGCAUAGGACAUGAGCAACCACAUACUGGGCCUAACCUUACCUUACUAAUCCCGUUGAGGAAUAAAUAUCCUCGCCUACUAACAAGCAUGUAAAAAGAAAGAGCUAGAGAGCAAUAAAUAUUCUAUGAUCAUCACAGAGUUUAUAACAUACUCCGUGAUGAUAUUACAAAUGACUAUACUAAUAAAAUGGUAAAAUAAGAUAUAGUAGGAAUUUGAUUCUUGUCCCUUGUUGCCCAAACUUGCAACUUCUUCAAUUUGUAGUUCUUGAUCAUCUUCAUCAAACCUCUUCAGAAUGUCUUCAAACUUCAUGACUUUUUUAUUGAACGUUUGGACCUUGUAGAUGUAGUUGGGGAUGCCUGUUUUUGUUUGGCAACUCUCAUUGGGAGUCGCCUAACGUUUACUUCCUCAUUCACAGAAAUAGUUGGAGUGGUUGUAACCAAAUGCUGUUGUCCAGCUUGUGUAGUCGUUACUGCAAUACAUGGUUGUAAAUGCUGCUGCUGCUGUCCAGCAUUUGGAGUUGAUAUUACUGCUUGUUGCGUGCUUGCAAUUUGCUUCUGCUGUUGAGCAACUGCUGGUGUUGUUGCAUAUUGACCAGACACAAAAGUAUCAGCUGGAAUGUUUGCAAAAAUCAGCUGUUGCCCAGUCCUUUUUGUUGCUCCAUUUUUCAUCCAGAUAGUACCUGCUUUGCUUGUUCCAAUAUGUUCCUGCCCAGAAUUUGGUGGGUUACUGCAUUGUGAAUGCAUGUAGUACCAGGAGACUUUCUAGGAAUGAAAUCUGGAGCAUCCAAAUUAAGCUUGCUCUUUAGUUUUCCAGUCGAAGUACUUUCAGUUUUUUGCGUCAGAUGGGCGUCCUUGAUAAUUUUUACCACGCGAGGGCUGGAAAACUGCAGCAUUGUACUGUUUUUUGAAGUUGCCUCAUGUUGAAGUACCUGGUCUUGCACGCCUGGAGAUCUCCUAUUUUUAG
Molecule: long non-coding RNA, 1553 nt
Filed under: Nicotiana tabacum (common tobacco)
Lineage: Eukaryota; Viridiplantae; Streptophyta; Magnoliopsida; Solanales; Solanaceae
Description: long non-coding RNA (NTAB_LNC001833)
Source: RNAcentral